RNAcentral lists this unclassified non-coding RNA (174 nucleotides) under Graphium pseudormiticum. RNAcentral describes it as "internal trancribed spacer 1". Lineage: Eukaryota; Fungi; Ascomycota; Sordariomycetes; Microascales; Graphiaceae. The record is from RNAcentral.
CCGAGUUUUCACACUCACCAAACCCACUGUGAACCUUACCACUGUCGUUGCUUCGGCGGGCGCAGACCCCUCUCCUCCCUCCGGGGGGGCGCGGGGCGCGGGCCCGCCGGCAGCACCCAAAACUCUUCUGUAUAUACCCUAGCGUCUCUUCUGAGUACAAAAGACAAACAAUCA